UACGUAGGGUGCGAGCGUUAAUCGGAGUUACUGGGCGUAAAGGGCGCGUAGGUGGUUAUGUGAGUGAGAUGUGAAAUCCCUGGGCUUAACCUAGGAACUGCAUCUUAAACUGCAUAGCUGGAGUACUGUAGAGGGUAGUGGAAUUUCCGGUGUAGCGGUGAAAUGCGUAGAGAUCGGAAGGAACACCAGUGGCGAAGGCGGCUACCUGGACAGAUACUGACACUGAGGCGCGAGAGCGUGGGGAGCAAACAGG
RNAcentral lists this ribosomal RNA (253 nucleotides) under uncultured bacterium. RNAcentral's name for it is "partial 16S ribosomal RNA". It matches the Rfam family "Bacterial small subunit ribosomal RNA", at positions 524 to 776 of the family's 1533-position model. The record is from RNAcentral.